RNAcentral lists this long non-coding RNA (1132 nucleotides) under Apteryx rowi (Okarito brown kiwi). Its description in RNAcentral is "lncRNA (ENSARWG00000000933.1)". Lineage: Eukaryota; Metazoa; Chordata; Aves; Apterygiformes; Apterygidae. The record is from RNAcentral.
CACAUUCAUAACAUAUACUGAUGAACUGUGAUCAGUGCUGUUAUAUUUUUAAUCUGUUUCCUAUGGAAACAAGGUUUAAGCAAUUGUGCUUUCUGUUAGUUUUGAUCCUCAAUUAGCUUUUGAACCUAUUGGCUGGUUUAAGUAAAACUUGACGGAAAUGUUGAUAAAUAAAAUAUUGCAGGUUUCAUGAUAACAGGUGGCUUGAUAGAGCAGAAGCAGUCUGAUGAGGGAAGUUGUUACAGUUAAACUCACAGCUUACUAGACAGCAAAGAAUCCACAUGAGAAAAGGCUCUUAUGAAUGCCUCAGUGAUAARUAUCCUUCAGCAUUUGGAAUGGAUGCCUGCUAAGACAUGAAAGUCAAUUUUCCACAAACCAUGAGUCAGUAGAAAAUCAAUCUCUGUUAGUUCUGAUAUUCAAUAAGCUAACUUUCUAUUUGACUGUUAUUUUAUGUACUAGUUUUAUAUGGUAUUUGCCUAGCACUUCAAAACCUCCACUAAUCCUAAAAGCGCUGAUCCUACAGACUUAAACCAGGCUACUCAUAUGUAUAUAAUUAACAGCAUUUGGUUUUGCAGACUUGAUCUUCAAAAUCAGGUUAUCUCAAUGUAGAUGCUUAAAUUUGGAUUUAUUGCCUAAUUUAUUUUGAAAUAAUUUUCAUAAGCAUUGAGUUGUUUGUGUGCUAAUUAACCUCUCCUCCAUUAAUUGAAGGAAACAUUAUUAGUUUUUGUCUUGUUUUUCAGUUCACAAAUGAGAACUAAGACUUGGCGAGACUAAAGGAACAGCGCCAUGUUUUGAUGGCAGAGAGCAUGUAUAUUUUCAGCUCAAAGAAUAACACUCUUGUGAUUAAUACCUGUGUCACGGUGUGGGUACGCUUCCAAAAAUUUGGAAGCAGUAUUUACCACUCUUCUGUGGGUUAAGGAUGUCCAGAACAAAAUAUACUGUUCCUGGGGUCAUUUCACCAGAAAUAUGCAGGGUGAGAUCAUUCUUUCUGUUUCUGUGAAUAUGUAGUAUCCCAGACUUCUGAGUCUUGUUGCCUUAUUUCAGAGAAACUCUUUUGAUUUACUGUUCUCCUGUGGUCAUUUUCAGUUCUGCAUAUUUCCAAGUAUUUCCCUUGCACAGAAUAUCUGUUUGAAUU